AAUAGAUACCCGGGUAGUCCACGCCGUAAACGAUGAAUACUAGGUGUAGGGGUUGUCAUGACCUCUGUGCCGCCGCUAACGCAUUAAGUAUUCCGCCUGGGGAGUACGGUCGCAAGAUUAAAACUCAAAGGAAUUGACGGGGGCCCGCACAAGCAGCGGAGCAUGUGGUUUAAUUCGAAGCAACGCGAAGAACCUUACCUAGACUUGACAUCUCCUGCAUUACUCUUAAUCGAGGAAGUCUCUUCGGGGACAGGAUGACAGGUGGUGCAUGGUUGUCGUCAGCUCGUGUCGUGAGAUGUUGGGUUAAGUCCCGCAACGAGCGCAACCCUUAUUGUUAGUUGCCAUCAUUAAGUUGGGCACUCUAGCGAGACUGCCCGGGUUAACCGGGAGGAAGGUGGGGAUGACGUCAAAUCAUCAUGCCCCUUAUGUCUAGGGCUACACACGUGCUACAAUGGUCGGUACAAUAAGACGCAAGCCCGCGAGGGGGAGCAAAACUGGAAAACCGAUCUCAGUUCGGAUUGUAGGCUGAAACUCGCCUAC
This 540-nucleotide ribosomal RNA is filed under the name uncultured bacterium. RNAcentral's name for it is "bacterial SSU rRNA". It matches the Rfam family "Bacterial small subunit ribosomal RNA", at positions 777 to 1319 of the family's 1533-position model. The record is from RNAcentral.